GAGUUUGAUCUUGGCUCAGAUUGAACGCUGGCGGCAUGCCUUACACAUGCAAGUCGAACGGCAGCACGGGAGCUUGCUCCUGGUGGCGAGUGGCGAACGGGUGAGUAAUGCAUCGGAACGUAUCCUGGAGUGGGGGAUAACGUAGCGAAAGUUACGCUAAUACCGCAUAUUCUGUGAGCAGGAAAGCGGGGGACCUUCGGGCCUCGCGCUCUUGGAGCGGCCGAUGUCGGAUUAGCUAGUUGGUGAGGUAAAGGCUCACCAAGGCGACGAUCCGUAGCAGGUCUGAGAGGAUGAUCUGCCACACUGGAACUGAGACACGGUCCAGACUCCUACGGGAGGCAGCAGUGGGGAAUUUUGGACAAUGGGGGCAACCCUGAUCCAGCCAUGCCGCGUGAGUGAAGAAGGCCUGGUU
RNAcentral lists this ribosomal RNA (412 nucleotides) under bacterium enrichment culture clone ALO1_GLFRUDD03F6H5J. RNAcentral's name for it is "bacterial SSU rRNA". It matches the Rfam family "Bacterial small subunit ribosomal RNA", at positions 9 to 424 of the family's 1533-position model. The record is from RNAcentral.